Molecule: ribosomal RNA, 450 nt
Filed under: uncultured bacterium
Lineage: Bacteria
Description: partial 16S ribosomal RNA
Rfam family: Bacterial small subunit ribosomal RNA
Source: RNAcentral
GUGGGGAAUUUUGGACAAUGGGCGAAAGCCUGAUCCAGCAAUGCCGCGUGUGUGAAGAAGGCCUUCGGGUUGUAAAGCACUUUUGUCCGGAAAGAAAUCCUUUGGGUUAAUACCUCGGAGGGAUGACGGUACCGGAAGAAUAAGGACCGGCUAACUACGUGCCAGCAGCCGCGGUAAUACGUAGGGUCCGAGCGUUAAUCGGAAUUACUGGGCGUAAAGCGUGCGCAGGCGGUGUUGUACGACAGAUGUGAAAUCCCCGGGCUUAACCUGGGAAUUGCAUUUGUGACUGCAAGGCUAGAGUGUGUCAGAGGGGGGUAGAAUUCCACGUGUAGCAGUGAAAUGCGUAGAGAUGUGGAGGAAUACAGAUGGCGAAGGCAGCCCCCUGGGAUAACACUGACGCUCAUGCACGAAAGCGUGGGGAGCAAACAGGAUUAGAAUCCCCGGUAGUCC